This 2707-nucleotide long non-coding RNA is filed under the name Pongo abelii (Sumatran orangutan). RNAcentral describes it as "lincRNA". Lineage: Eukaryota; Metazoa; Chordata; Mammalia; Primates; Hominidae. The record is from RNAcentral.
GGGGCGGCCUCUCUGACGAGAAGGAGGCCACUGGGCUGAGACCAAUGAAUGAGAAAGAGCCAGUCACAUGGUGAGCUGGGAGAGGGCAUUCCAGGCAGUGUGACCAGCGCUUGCAAAGGCCCUGGGGCUGGACGGUUCUUGGUGGAGUCUGAGGGCUUGAGUCUGGGGGAGCCUGGCUGCCCAGAGGUGGCAGAUGACAUGAAGAAAUAACCAUGUAAGGGCUGGCUGUGUAUGAGAGCAAGCAUUGGGAAGGAUGAAUGCCAACUAUGUUCCAGGAACUUCUACUGUUCUCACACACCCAGAUGAGUGGUGUUCAGGUGGGUGGCACCCAGGUGAGUGGCACCCAGGUGGAUAGCAUCCAGGUGAGUGACACCUAGGUGAGUGACAUUCAGGUGAGUGGCAUCUGUGUGAGUGGCAUCAUCCAGGUGAGUAGCUUCCAGGUGAGUGGCACCCAGGUGAGUGGCAUUCAGGUGAGUGGCAUUAUCCAGGUGACACCUGGGUGAGUGGCAUCCAGGCGAGUGAUAUCAUCCAGGUAAGUGGCACCUGGGUGAGUGACAUCCAGGUGAGUGAUAUCAUCCAGGUAAAUGGCACCCAGGUGAGUAGCAUUCAGGUGAGUGACACCCAGGCGAGUGGCAUCCACGUGACUAGCAUUGUCCAGGUGCAUAACACCCAUGAGUGGCACCCAGUUGAGUGGCACCCAAGUGAGUCACAUCCGGGUAAGUGGGGUCCAGGUGGUGGCACCCAGGUGAGUGGUGCCCAGGUGAGUGACAGCCAGGUGAAUGGUGUCCAGGUGAGUGGCAUCCAGGUGAGUGGUGUCCAGGUAAGUGGCAUCACCCAGGUGAGUGGUGUCCAGGUGAGUGGCAUCACCCAGGUGAGUGGUGUCCAGGUGAGUGGCAUCCAGGUAAGUGGUGUCCAGGUGGUGGCACCCAGGUGAGUGACAGCCAGGUGAGUGGUGUCCAGGUAAGUGGUAUCACCCAGGUAAGUGGCAUCCAGGUGAGCGGCACCGUCGAGGUGACAAUAGCUAACAAUUAUUGGGCUCAUUGUGGACAGGCACUGUGCCAAGCUUGACAUCACUGAACUCAAUUCAUCCUCGCCAGGAGCUUAUGGGCCGUCCCUAGAUCAGAAUCUGAGGAGAAAGGACUUCCACAGGGCAGCCAGCGAGCUGGAGAGCAGCCUCCUGCCACCGCCAGCCUCCCUAGCCCAGUCCUGGAUAUCUGUGAAAGAAUGAGUGGAUCCCCACAGGCCAGGUGGGCUGGGAGGGAGGGCUACUGUUUCCUGGGACAAACGUGUGUGGGGAGCUGAGUGUUUCUCCUUUCUCAGUUCUGACUUCCCACAGCUAUCCCCAAACAUACUCGUUUACACUGAAGCACCAAGAGAUCAGAACCUUCUGGAAUCUUAAUAUGCGAGGAAUCGGUGGAGAAGAAGGCACUGAAGAAGAGUCGUCCCCAGGCCAGGCUGGAGGGAAACUCAAGAUGGCGGCCUGUCCCUCCUGGGUGGCGGAAGUGGGAGCAGCAGGGGCCCUGGCGGAUCCGGGAGGCCUGAAGAGCGGAAGCGUCCUCCCCUCUCAGGACAGCCACAAGGACUUUCGGGGGUCGUGGCAGCUGCUCCACUUCCAACUUCCAGAUCCCACUCACUUUCCUCUUUCCGCCAACUCCAACCUGGGACCAAGCAGGGGAAAGCGGCUCCAGCCCAGCUUGACGCCCCUGCAAAUGGAGACCUGUGCACCUGGUUGUGAGCAUUUUAGAGGGUGUCACACAGGGCAUACCCUUCGGUGCCUGGAUUCCUUUGAUAAAAGGGCAAAGCCUUGAACCUAAGUCAUCUUCGAGUCCUCAGCCCUUCACCCAGAGCCUGGCACACAGUAGGAGCACAGAAAGGUAUACAUCCAGCAGGAGCUGGCCCUGAGCUCUGAGUCCAGAUCAUUGCUCUUGGCUGAAGCAGCCUCUCUACUCACAAAGAUGAGCACCGUCCCUGCCCCGAGGAAACUCGUGGUCCUGUGGACUGCGGUGUGGAGGGAAAGCUUGGGAUUCUGAGCCUGGUAAUGCACCAUUACAUCCCCACUCACUCGGGCUGUAUGAACCCAGCAAGUCACAGGAUCACUGGGUGGUGAAAGAAAGAAACACUCACAGAAGCAUCUAUGCUUGGAGAGCCAUGCAGUCCAUCAUUGUGACUGCUGCUGUCAUUGCUAUCGUGGCUGUCACCAUUGCCAUCACUCGAUGACUUCUCUCCAGGCCCAGAAGCCAAGCUGAUGCCUCAUUCCUCUGGGUUGGGAGAGGGGCUGGGCAUGGACAGGAGGUGGGAAAAGGGAGCUGUGCUAGCAGAUGAUGCCAUCCAAGACAUCUGCAUCCUAAUCCCUGGAACCUGGGAUUCCACUAGGUUACAUGGCAAAGGGCGAUUAAGGUGGCAGGUGGAGUGAAGGUUGCUAAUCAGCUGACCUUAAAGUAGGGAGAUGAUCCUGAAUGAGACAAAAGAGAACCAGCCAUGGUGUCAUGAGAAGGACUCAAAAUGCAACUGCUGGCUUUGAAGAUUAAGGUGCUACAAACCAAGGAACGUGGUAGUCUCUGGAAAAGACAAGGAAUAGACACUGCCUUGGGGCCACCAGAAGGAACUAGCCCUGUCAACACCCUAAUUUUAGCCCAGUGAGGCCUGUGCUGGACUUCUGAUCUCCAGAACUGUAAACUAAUAAAUGUGUGUUGUUUCUGCCUCUAGA